RNAcentral lists this ribosomal RNA (499 nucleotides) under uncultured bacterium. RNAcentral's name for it is "bacterial SSU rRNA". It matches the Rfam family "Bacterial small subunit ribosomal RNA", at positions 29 to 517 of the family's 1533-position model. The record is from RNAcentral.
AGUGAACGCUGGCGGCAGGCCUAAUACAUGCAAGUCGAACGGCAGCACAGUGGAGCUUGCUCCAUGGGUGGCGAGUGGCGGACGGGUGAGGAAUACAUGGGAAUCUGCCCAGUCGUGGGGAUAACGUAUGGAAACGUACGCUAAUACCGCAUGCGCCCUUCGGGGAAAGUCGGGGACCGCAAGGCCUGACGCGAUUGGAUGAGCCCAUGUUCGAUUAGCUAGUUGGCGGGGUAACGGCCCACCAAGGCGACGAUCGAUAGCUGGUCUGAGAGGAUGAUCAGCCACACUGGAACUGAGACACGGUCCAGACUCCUACGGGAGGCAGCAGUAGGGAAUAUUGGACAAUGGGCGCAAGCCUGAUCCAGCCAUGCCGCGUGAGUGAAGAAGGCCCUCGGGUUGUAAAGCUCUUUUGUUGGGGAAGAAAAGCAGUUGGUUAAUACCCGAUUGUUCUGACGGUACCCAAAGAAUAAAGCACCGGCUAACUUCGUGCCAGCAGCCG